This 745-nucleotide ribosomal RNA is filed under the name uncultured fungus. Its description in RNAcentral is "eukaryotic LSU rRNA". The stretch from base 1 to 241 matches the Rfam family "Eukaryotic small subunit ribosomal RNA", at positions 1593 to 1831 of the family's 1831-position model. Lineage: Eukaryota; Fungi. The record is from RNAcentral.
UUGCUCUUCAACGAGGAAUGCCUAGUAAGCGCAUGUCAUCAGCAUGCGUUGAUUACGUCCCUGCCCUUUGUACACACCGCCCGUCGCUACUACCGAUUGAAUGGCUCAGUGAAGCCUCCGGACUGGCUCGAAGAGGUUGGCAACGACCACUUCGAGCCGGAAAGCUGGUCAAACUCGGUCAUUUAGAGGAAGUAAAAGUCGUAACAAGGUUUCCGUAGGUGAACCUGCGGAAGGAUCAUUACCUAGAGUUGUAGGCUUUGCCUGCUAUCUCUUACCCAUGUCUUUUGAGUACCUUACGUUUCCUCGGUGGGUUCGCCCACCGAUUGGACAAACUUAAACCCUUUGCAGUUGAAAUCAGCGUCUGAAAAAACUUAAUAGUUACAACUUUCAACAACGGAUCUCUUGGUUCUGGCAUCGAUGAAGAACGCAGCGAAAUGCGAUAAGUAGUGUGAAUUGCAGAAUUCAGUGAAUCAUCGAAUCUUUGAACGCACAUUGCGCCCCUUGGUAUUCCAUGGGGCAUGCCUGUUCGAGCGUCAUUUGUACCUUCAAGCUCUGCUUGGUGUUGGGUGUUUGUCUCCUGUAGACUCGCCUUAAAACAAUUGGCAGCCGGCGUAUUGAUUUCGGAGCGCAGUACAUCUCGCGCUUUGCACUCAUAACGACGACAUCCAAAGGUACAUUUUUACACUCUUGACCUCGGAUCAGGUAGGGAUACCCGCUGAACUUAAGCAUAUCAAUAAGCGGAGGA